UGUUUGCUAUGAUGAAUUGCAAGGACGGUAUCUGAGUAAGUUGGCUCUUGAAAAAGGCCACCUUCCUUGAUUACGCAUCCUAAACUGAUCAUAUAUUCUGAGCAAGCA
This is a non-coding RNA of Triticum aestivum (bread wheat), 108 nucleotides long. Lineage: Eukaryota; Viridiplantae; Streptophyta; Magnoliopsida; Poales; Poaceae. The record is from Rfam.